Molecule: long non-coding RNA, 316 nt
Organism: Talpa occidentalis (Iberian mole)
Lineage: Eukaryota; Metazoa; Chordata; Mammalia; Eulipotyphla; Talpidae
Exons: 3
Source: RefSeq, a predicted model, not a curated record
AGCUCCAGGCCCUCCUUGGUGGAAUGGUGUUAUCUUGGAUGAACAGCCUGUUGUUUAGGACUUCUGGCUGCUGUGGACACCAGAUGUUUGAGUGGAUUUGAACUUUCAAAGAACUGGUCCAUACAUUCCACAACUUGGAGAUCUCAAAACACCAAAUGAAAGGAAAGUCCUGGUUGUCUCACCAAAUGUUUGUUCAAGAGACUCUUCCGAAAAAUGAAAGAACAGGAUGACAGGUCAACUCAGCUGUACACCUCUGGACAUGUCCUGCAUUGAUUGGAGAUGUCUCAAGGAAGUGAAUGCCAGAAAUGACGAAUCA